This 253-nucleotide ribosomal RNA is filed under the name uncultured bacterium. RNAcentral's name for it is "partial 16S ribosomal RNA". It matches the Rfam family "Bacterial small subunit ribosomal RNA", at positions 524 to 776 of the family's 1533-position model. The record is from RNAcentral.
UACGGAGGGUGCAAGCGUUAUCCGGAUUAACUGGGUUUAAAGGGUGCGUAGGUGGGUUGGUAAGUCAGUGGUGAAAUCUCCGAGCUUAACUUGGAAACUGCCAUUGAUACUAUCAAUCUUGAAUACUGUGGAGGUCAGCGGAAUAUGUCAUGUAGCGGUGAAAUGCUUAGAUAUGACAUAGAACACCAAUUGCGUAGGCAGCUUACUACACGAUCAUUGACGCUGAGGCACGAAAGCGUGGGGAGCAAACAGG